This 72-nucleotide transfer RNA is filed under the name Clytia hemisphaerica. RNAcentral describes it as "tRNA-Pro for anticodon UGG". It matches the Rfam family "tRNA". From Rfam's summary of the family: Transfer RNA (tRNA) molecules are approximately 80 nucleotides in length. Their secondary structure includes four short double-helical elements and three loops (D, anti-codon, and T loops). The record is from Rfam by way of RNAcentral. Lineage: Eukaryota; Metazoa; Cnidaria; Hydrozoa; Leptothecata; Clytiidae.
GGCUCAAUGGUCUAGUGGUAUGAUUCUCGCUUUGGGUGCGAGAGGUCCUGAGUUCACUUCUCAGUUGAGCCC